GGACUACAGGGGUAUCUAAUCCCGUUCGCUCCCCCAGCUUUCGCGCCUCAGCGUCAAGUCUGCCCCAGGAGACCGCCUUCGCCACAGGUGUUCCUACCGAUAUCUACGCAUUUCACCGCUACACCGGUAAUUCCAUCUCCCCCUAGCAGCUUCAAGAGAAAAAGUAUCUACCGACCCUCCGGAGUUGAGCUCCGGGCUUUCACAGUAGACUUUCUUCCCCGCCUACGCGCGCUUUACGCCCAGUAACUUCGGACAACGCUCGCCCCCUACGUAUUACCGCGGCUGCUGGCAC
This 292-nucleotide ribosomal RNA is filed under the name uncultured bacterium. RNAcentral's name for it is "partial 16S ribosomal RNA". The record is from RNAcentral.